Molecule: ribosomal RNA, 337 nt
Filed under: Heteroctenus abudi
Lineage: Eukaryota; Metazoa; Arthropoda; Arachnida; Scorpiones; Buthidae
Description: partial 12S ribosomal RNA
Source: RNAcentral
AAAGGAGUAAAAAAAUUAGGUAGUAAGGGUGGACCCGAAACUUAAAAAAUUUGGCGGUAUCUUAAACUAAUUAGAGGAACCUGUUUUAUAAUCGACAUUACUCGUCAAAUCUUACUUAGAAUGGUGGCUUGUAUAUCGUUGUAAUAAUAAUAUUUAUGAUUAUUAUUAAUUAGAAUUUUAUUUUAGAUAUCAGAUCAAGGUUCAGCUUAUGUUUAAGUAAAAAAUGGGUUACAAUGUGUAAGAUACAUUAUGGAGUUUAUUUAUAAAGAGUAAAUGAAAGUGGAUUUAAAAGUAUUUUUAGAAUAAUAUGUUAAAUUGAAUUAGCUCUAAGAUAUGC